Molecule: long non-coding RNA, 1636 nt
Filed under: Medicago truncatula (barrel medic)
Lineage: Eukaryota; Viridiplantae; Streptophyta; Magnoliopsida; Fabales; Fabaceae
Description: lncRNA gene23158
Source: RNAcentral
GUUUGAUUAGUUUCGAUUAAGAAUUGAGUCGUGACUUUAAUAUCAUCUUUUCUCUAUGUAGGUGCUAUUACUCUAUGGAGUAUUUUAAAAAUGAACUUUAAUUUUUAUAUCUAAAAUUUAAUUAAGAAUAUUAGUUUUGAACAAAUUAGGGAUUUUUGUCACUGUAGAACAAGGACAAAAGAUGUAAACAUAUACAGAAGCAACUUGAUGUUUUUAGAGAUCACGAUCAUUAACCACUACUAGAAAAAGCAAAAUUAGCGAGGGAAAUUAGUGACGGAAAAAAUGAAAUUCCUCAUAAAUUCCUUGGUCGCAAAAUUUAGUGCCGGAAUUAGAGAGGAAUUUCAUGUUUUCCCUCACUAAAUAUCCCUCACUAAUUUUUGUUUUUUAAGUAGUGUAAUCUUCUUUCACAAUACCUACAACACUAAAGCCCAACACCAACACUAACACAAUUUAAAAUCAGUACCCUACGACCUAACUUGAGAAAUCCAUCAUCAUCGCUUUGGUCACUGUAAAAACAUCUCGUCGCUUUUAUGAUUUAAUGUUUGCGUUCGCUGAAUACCUCGUUUUGAUCUUCAUCGUUUGGUGGUUGUAAGUGGCAAAGUAAAAUUUCAUAGGUUUUUCGUGACAUGUCAUUUGAGUGAGAGGAAUAUCAAGCAUAGAAGUAGAAUAAAUAAUUAAUCUUCAUAAUCAUUUUUUUUUUAUUAAAGUAGUUAUAAUUAUACAAGAAUACGAGAGAAACAUAAAUCAUUAUGCAUAUAAAAAAAAGGUUAAAUAUGUUUUUUGUCCCUAUAAAUAUGUCAAUAUUUCGUUUUAGUCCCUCAAAACUUUUUCCUUCAACUUUUAGUCCCUAUAAAAUUUUCAAUCAUUACUUUUGGUCCCUAUUUUUAAUUUAAUUUUUGUAUUUUUUUAAUGAAAUUGUGCAGAAAUGUGUAAAAUAUUCAAAAAAAAAUUUCUAAAAAAAAAUAGAAUUUUUUAACAAAACACAAAUUAAAUAUGAAUUUUUAACCUUCAAAAAUAUUAAAAUUCAUAUUAAAUUCAUGUUUGGUUAAACAAUUCUAAUUUAUUUUUGGAGUGAUUCUUAUAAUAUUAUGAAUUUUUCUGAAUACUUUUAUUAAAAAAUAUGAAUUCUAUACGUAUGAGUUUACUUUAAAAGAGAGACCAAAAGUAAAGAUUGAAAAUUUUAUAGGGACUAAAAGUUGAAGGAAAAUUUUAGAGAAACUAAAACAAAAAGUUGACAUAUUUAUAAGUACUAAAAACAUAUUUAACCUUAAAAAAAAAUGAGAAUUAUAAAUCAAACUUUGAGGUAAAUUAUAUAAAAAUACAAAUACUUACUAUACUAUGACGUACAAAUGAAAUUAUAUAAGUUUUUUAAUAAACGGAAUACACUGGCCAUCAAUGCACCUCAUAUAACAGGCGCGACAACCAACUGGACAAUCAAUGUAAUUAUAACAUUCGUAAACUUUACCUGCAAUGUCAGAUGAGCAAAGAGAAUGUUACUAAAAAUGAUAAAAUUUUGUUAAUAUGAAAAUGGUGUAAAAAGUGACAUACCACAAGUUACAACAAGAAAUAAAGACAGAAAUAUGAUCAAAACAUAAACACAAAAUUGAAUUUUAGUCAUAUGUUCCAUCCUUUGCAU